GAUGAACGCUGGCGGCGUGCCUAAUACAUGCAAGUCGAGCGAACAGACGAGGAGCUUGCUCCUCUGACGUUAGCGGCGGACGGGUGAGUAACACGUGGAUAACCUACCUAUAAGACUGGGAUAACUUCGGGAAACCGGAGCUAAUACCGGAUAAUAUAUUGAACCGCAUGGUUCAAUAGUGAAAGACGGUUUUGCUGUCACUUAUAGAUGGAUCCGCGCCGCAUUAGCUAGUUGGUAAGGUAACGGCUUACCAAGGCAACGAUGCGUAGCCGACCUGAGAGGGUGAUCGGCCACACGGGAACUGAGACACGGUCCAGACUCCUACGGGAGGAAGCAGUAGGGAAUCUUACGCAAUGGGCGAAAGCAUGACGGAGCAACGCCGCGUGAGUGAUGAAGGUCUUCGGAUCGUAAAACUCUGUUAUUAGGGAAGAAAAAAUGUGUAAGUAACUAUGCACGUCUUGACGGUACCUAAUCAGAAAGCCACGGCUAACUACGUG
RNAcentral lists this ribosomal RNA (497 nucleotides) under uncultured bacterium. Its description in RNAcentral is "partial 16S ribosomal RNA". It matches the Rfam family "Bacterial small subunit ribosomal RNA", at positions 28 to 507 of the family's 1533-position model. The record is from RNAcentral.